Molecule: long non-coding RNA, 360 nt
Filed under: Mytilus galloprovincialis (Mediterranean mussel)
Lineage: Eukaryota; Metazoa; Mollusca; Bivalvia; Mytilida; Mytilidae
Source: RNAcentral
AAAAAAACAACUCAUAAAAUUGAGAAUGGAAAUGGGGAAUGUGCCAAAGAGACAACAACCCGACCAUAGAAAAAAACAACAGCAGAAGGUCACCAACAGGUCUUCAAUGUAGCGAGAAAUUCCCGCACCCGGAGGCGUCCUUCAACUGGCCCCUAAACAAAUAUAUACUAGUUCAGUGAUAAUGAACGCCAUACUAAUUUCCAAAUUGUACACAAGAAACUAAAUUAAAAUAAUACAAGACUAACAAAGGCCAGAGGCUCCUGACUUGGGACAGGCGCAAAAAUGCGGCGGGGUUAAACAUGUUUGUGAGAUCUCAACCCUUCCCCUAUACCUCUAGCCAAUGUAGAAAAGUAAACGCAU